UGGGGAAUAUUGCACAAUGGGCGCAAGCCUGAUGCAGCCAUGCCGCGUGUGUGAAGAAGGCCUUCGGGUUGUAAAGCACUUUCAGCGAGGAGGAAGGGGUUGAGUUUAAUACGCUCAAUCAUUGACGUUACUCGCAGAAGAAGCACCGGCUAACUCCGUGCCAGCAGCCGCGGUAAUACGGAGGGUGCAAGCGUUAAUCGGAAUUACUGGGCGUAAAGCGCACGCAGGCGGUUUGUUAAGUCAGAUGUGAAAUCCCCGCGCUUAACGUGGGAACUGCAUUUGAAACUGGCAAGCUAGAGUCUUGUAGAGGGGGGUAGAAUUCCAGGUGUAGCGGUGAAAUGCGUAGAGAUCUGGAGGAAUACCGGUGGCGAAGGC
RNAcentral lists this ribosomal RNA (375 nucleotides) under uncultured bacterium. RNAcentral describes it as "partial 16S ribosomal RNA". It matches the Rfam family "Bacterial small subunit ribosomal RNA", at positions 355 to 722 of the family's 1533-position model. The record is from RNAcentral.